AUUCUAUUGAGACCAUGGUGGCUUUUGCCUCUUUUUGUCACUUACACCUUAAAUUAGCACAUAACACCAUCAAAUUUCAUCUUACAGGCAUACAACACCACGUCCUCACCACCUUUCCCAAUCACCCCACCACCUUUUCUUUCUUCAUACCCAAUCAAAAAUAUUCUAAAAGGAAUCAACAAUACAGACCGGCCUCUUACAACCCAUAGACAAACCCAUAUUCAGGAACAUAUCAGACCUUUUG
Molecule: non-coding RNA, 244 nt
Organism: Pelobates cultripes (western spadefoot toad)
Lineage: Eukaryota; Metazoa; Chordata; Amphibia; Anura; Pelobatidae
Source: the annotation of a GenBank genome assembly